CAGCAGCCACGGGAAUACGUAGGGUGCGAGCGUUAAUCGGAAUUACUGGGCGUAAAGCGUGCGCAGGCGGUUAUAUAAGACAGAUGUGAAAUCCCCGGGCUCAACCUGGGACCUGCAUUUGUGACUGUAUAGCUAGAGUACGGUAGAGGGGGAUGGAAUCCCGCGUGUAGCAGUGAAAUGCGUAGGUAUGCGGAGGAACGCCGAUGGCGAAGGCAAUCCCCUGGACCUGUACUGACGCUCAUGCACGAAAGCGUGGGGAGCAAACAGGAUUAGAUACCCCCGUAGUCCCUGUCUCUUAUAC
RNAcentral lists this ribosomal RNA (301 nucleotides) under uncultured bacterium. RNAcentral describes it as "partial 16S ribosomal RNA". It matches the Rfam family "Bacterial small subunit ribosomal RNA", at positions 509 to 807 of the family's 1533-position model. The record is from RNAcentral.